GACAGAGGGUGCAAACGUUGUUCGGAAUUACUGGGCGUAAAGCGCGUGUAGGCGGCCAUGCAAGUCGGAUGUGAAAGCCCUCGGCUCAACCGGGGAAGUGCACUCGAAACUGCAAGGCUAGAGUCUCGGAGAGGAUCGUGGAAUUCUCGGUGUAGAGGUGAAAUUCGUAGAUAUCCGGAGGAACACCGGUGGCGAAGGCGGCUUCCUGGACCGAUCACUGACGCUGAGGCGCGAAAGCUAGGGGAGCAAACGGG
RNAcentral lists this ribosomal RNA (254 nucleotides) under uncultured bacterium. Its description in RNAcentral is "partial 16S ribosomal RNA". It matches the Rfam family "Bacterial small subunit ribosomal RNA", at positions 524 to 776 of the family's 1533-position model. The record is from RNAcentral.